RNAcentral lists this long non-coding RNA (2667 nucleotides) under Nicotiana tabacum (common tobacco). RNAcentral's name for it is "long non-coding RNA (NTAB_LNC006581)". Lineage: Eukaryota; Viridiplantae; Streptophyta; Magnoliopsida; Solanales; Solanaceae. The record is from RNAcentral.
ACGACCAAACAAGACCCCUAACAUCAACCUUAAGCUCUCUACAAGGGUUUCAAAUAAUACCAUCAUUCUGGGCACGAAAUCAAGAAGCAAUAACACUAGAACGAUCCCCACUGCGUAAGUAUUGCUAUAUUGCCUCUCUUUUUCUUUGUAGUUUGAGUUUUGAAAGGUAUUUAAUAGCUAAGAAAAUUCUUAAUUUCUGGUUUUAAUCUCUUAAAUAUCAAGGAAGGUUGAUUAAUUGAUUUCAUAAUAGUUAGAACUCAUGGGACAGUGAUCGGAAGCCGUGAGUUCGAGUUAUUUGACUUGUAAUGGAUGUUCUUAGGCUGUUUCGUGUAGCUUUUGGGCUGUCUAUUUUGUUGUUGUCAAAUGGAGUUUUUUGGAGGAUAAAUGGUGUGGAUAAAUACCACAUAAUGGCAAAAUCAUGGAUUAGUCAUUAUGUUUGACACUACUAUAGUCGUCGUUUUGGAUAUGAAUUGAUUAGGGUGUAUUGGGUUGUUGUAAGCUAAAUAUAAUAUGGGUUUCGACUUGCAUAUACUGUAUGAGGUAAAUAUAUUGUGUUCCUACAUGUUCUUAAGGUUAUCUUGGCAUUGGUUAAGUUAAAUGGAUGAACUAGAUAAUAAAGUUGCUAAUUAAGAAUAAUUGGAGUUGUGGAUCAUUUUCUUUAUUAUAGAUAUAUGGUAUAAGGCUAGAAUUAUUGAUGAAUGACUCCAUUAUCAUGUUAAUGAUACUAUUGAGUUAAAUUAAAAAGUCUAUAAGGGAUGAUAUGGGUAUACGAAUUCCAAUUGGAGCUUGUCGCUCGUCGUAAAAUAGUUAUGACUUGUUGUUGUUUUAUGGUGUCUUGUUAUUGAUAAUUAUGUAUUGCUGGAUUUCUCUAGUAAUUGUUGUUGGUAUAUGAUAUUGGAGGAGGCUCUUGUUACAGGGGAGAUGCUGCCCGAAUUUAUAUAAACGAGCUACAAGUUUAAGUUGCAGACUUAGCCUUUAUUCAACACUGAUUUUGAAUCUCCUUAUGCAAUGGUAGACUGAGUUGAGUUGUUUGGAGAGUAGCUUGGGAGGUAUUAAAGACUCACCAUGGUUAAGGUAUGUUAAGGCACUUCCCUUUUUCUUUCGGCAUGAUCUAAAGUGAAAUAAAUACGCUAUUUUAUAACGGAUUUACUCCUAGAAACUAAGGUUGCUCAUGUUGUUCUUUCCUUAUAAGUUAUUUUAAGCAAGUAUGUAUGAUCCUUGAAUCCUAUAGAAGCUCAUAUUGAUGGUAUGAUGUCCAUAAUGUUAAUCGAAGGUGAAACGACCUUAAGUCACUCCAAAAGGUUUAGAACGUGAUUCCAUGAGUCUAGCAUGCAUUAUAUAUAGUAUCUAUUUUACUCUACCGAGCCGCGCUAUAGUAGGCCGGGUACGACACCUAUGGUGCAAUCACUGAUCAGUUGGAUUUACCGAGCUCCACGUGGCCGGGUACGAUUCUACCGAGCCUUAUGAUGGUCGGGUACGCUUUUACCGAGUCCUCUUUGAGGCCAGGUACGAUAUGAUGAUGAUGAUGAUGAUGCCUACAGAGUCGUAUGUUUUUAAAAGUUUAUCUAUAUAUAUGUAUUAUGCAUUUCAUGUCAGUAACCCCAGAGGCACGCAAAUGUUAUAGGUUGUAUCUCCUCUAUCUCUCUUUAGAUUACUGUUCUUGUUUAUGCUUUCCUGCCUUACAUACUCGGUACUAUAUUUGUACCGACGUCCUUUUUUCCUGGGGACGCUGCGUUUCAUGCCCGCAGGUCCCAAUUGAUAGGUUGACAUUUCUCCUAGUAGGCUAUCAGCUCAGCGGAGGUGUUGGUGCACUCUACUUGUUCCGGAGUUGCCUAUUUUGUCAGUAUACUUUGGAUAUGUAUUGAUUGAUAUGGCAGGACCCUGUCCCAACCUUUAUGAUUUUAUGUACUCUUAGAGGCUUGUAGAUAGAUGUUAGGUUUAUGGAUACUUGUAUGGCCUGUGUGUUGAGUUUACACAUGGUCAUGUCAGCCUUAUAGGCCCGUAUGUCACAUGUAUAAGUUUGUAUAUCAUGUUGGGUCGUCAUAUGUUGAGUAUUCCCUUAUGUUUUAUUCUUGUUGGAUCAUGUUGGGUCGUCAUAUGUUGUUAUCUCAUGACGGGUUUCUAGCUCAUUUACUCAAGAUAGUAUAAUAAGAAAGAUAUGUUAUGUUAGUACUCGGUUGAGUAAGGCACCGAGUGCCCGUCGCGGCCCUUCGAUUUGGAUCGUGACAGUAAAUAUAUUACUAUUUAAUUUAGUGAGAAAAAUUUAGCCCAAUUAACUCACUCAAUCUUACGUCUACCAAAUGUUAAAAAUUAUUAAAAUUUGAAAUCUUUUAUUAAUAAUUAUAUAAAUAUAAAUUAUGGACUAUAUAUUAUAUACUAAUAUAGUAGUGCUUAUUUUUGGGGCCUUAAAUAUUUGGGGCUAAGACAAGGGCUUCACUUGCUUACCCUAGAGCCUCCCUUGACUCCUACUAAAGGCUACAUACAGAGAUGCACCGCUACCAGUAUAUAGGAAUUGUGUCCAAGAUCACAUCCUUACUGUGCAAAUUAGACUGUCAUGUCCUUCCAUUUCGAGUGACAGUACCAAAAAGAAAAUACAUAAAAAGCCAACUUCUAUCAUGCUCAAGUAUAUUAGCAAAAUGGCAUGAGAAGAGACACUUCAUCUUUCAG